AACGAACGCUGGCGGCAUGCCUAACACAUGCAAGUCGAACGAGACCUCCGGGUCUUGUGGCGCACGGGUGCGUAACGCGUGGGAACCUGCCCUUAGGUUCGGAAUAACUCCCCGAAAGGGGUGCUAAUACCGGAUAAUGUCUUCGGACCAAAGAUUUAUCGCCUUUGGAUGGGCCCGCGUUGGAUUAGCUAGUUGGUAGGGUAAAAGCCUACCAAGGCGACGAUCCAUAGCUGGUCUGAGAGGAUGAUCAGCCACACUGGGACUGAGACACGGCCCAGACUCCUACGCGAGGCAGGAGUGGAGAAUAUUGGACAAUGGGCGAAGGCCUGAUCCAGCAAUGCCGCGUAAGUGAUGAAGGCCUUAGGGUUGUGAAGCUCUUUUACCCGGGAUGAUAAUGACGGUACCGGGAGAAUAAGCUCCGGCUAACUCCGUG
This 433-nucleotide ribosomal RNA is filed under the name uncultured bacterium. RNAcentral describes it as "partial 16S ribosomal RNA". It matches the Rfam family "Bacterial small subunit ribosomal RNA", at positions 29 to 507 of the family's 1533-position model. The record is from RNAcentral.